CCUCGGAAAACUAGCAAAAGAUUCGAUCUUUGAUCGCUUUUCAGCAAGGAAGGGAGGUGAAGUUCCCCUUAUCCGGUUUCUGGGCUCGAUAAGGUAAGGAGUCCCGUUUUCAAUAGAAGGGCCUUCUUUUGCUCGGAGUCCGGCGACGGUGGGAGCCUGCCGGGGAAUGGGAGGGUGGCAGGCGAAGUUGAGAUCGCCGAGGGAGGUGGA
This 210-nucleotide long non-coding RNA is filed under the name Elaeis guineensis (African oil palm). RNAcentral describes it as "long non-coding RNA (EGUI_LNC011931)". Lineage: Eukaryota; Viridiplantae; Streptophyta; Magnoliopsida; Arecales; Arecaceae. The record is from RNAcentral.